GAUGAAGAACGCAGCGAAACGCGAUAUGUAAUGUGAAUUGCAGAAUUCAGUGAAUCAUCGAAUCUUUGAACGCACAUGGCGCCUUCCAGUAUCCUGGGAGGCAUGCCUGUCCGAGCGUCGUUUCAACCCUCGAGCCCCCGUGGCCCGGCGUUGGGGAUCUGCCCAGGCAGUCCCCGAAAACCAGUGGCGGACCCGUUCCAGGCCCUUCCCUUGCGUAGUAGCAUUCGCCUCGCAUCGGGAGCCGGCGGGCUUCCAGCCUCUAAACCCCCAUCAAGUCCGCCCCGGCGGCACCAAGGUUGACCUCGGAUCAGGUAGGAAUACCCGCUGAACUUAAGCAUAUCAAUAAGCGGAGGA
Molecule: unclassified non-coding RNA, 354 nt
Filed under: soil metagenome
Description: partial contains 5.8S ribosomal RNA, internal transcribed spacer 2, and large subunit ribosomal RNA
Rfam family: 5.8S ribosomal RNA (bases 1-120)
Source: RNAcentral